This 386-nucleotide ribosomal RNA is filed under the name uncultured Verrucomicrobiota bacterium. RNAcentral describes it as "bacterial SSU rRNA". It matches the Rfam family "Bacterial small subunit ribosomal RNA", at positions 976 to 1365 of the family's 1533-position model. The record is from RNAcentral. Lineage: Bacteria; Pseudomonadati; Verrucomicrobiota.
UGGCCUUGACAUGCUUAGUUCAAGCGUGGAAACACGCUGGCCCGCAAGGGCGAUUUGCACAGGUGCUGCAUGGCUGUCGUCAGCUCGUGUCGUGAGAUGUUGGGUUAAGUCCCGCAACGAGCGCAACCCUCGUGGUUAGUUAUUCCCGGGCAACCGGAAUCUGACCAGACUGCCCUGUGAAACGGGGAGGAAGGUGGGGACGACGUCAAGUCCGUAUGGCCCUUACGGCCAGGGCUGCACACGUACUACAAUGCCCAAUACAGAGGGACGCAAGACCGCAAGGUGGAGCUAAUCCCGUAAAGUUGGGCCCAGUUCGGAUUGGAGGCUGCAACUCGCCUCCAUGAAGUUGGAAUCGCUAGUAAUGGCGCAUCAGUACGGCGCCGGAA